Molecule: ribosomal RNA, 771 nt
Filed under: Enterobacter asburiae
Lineage: Bacteria; Pseudomonadati; Pseudomonadota; Gammaproteobacteria; Enterobacterales; Enterobacteriaceae
Description: bacterial SSU rRNA
Rfam family: Bacterial small subunit ribosomal RNA
Source: RNAcentral
UGCAGUCGAGCGGUAGCACAGAGAGCUUGCUCUCGGGUGACGAGCGGCGGACGGGUGAGUAAUGUCUGGGAAACUGCCUGAUGGAGGGGGAUAACUACUGGAAACGGUAGCUAAUACCGCAUAACGUCGCAAGACCAAAGUGGGGGACCUUCGGGCCUCAUGCCAUCAGAUGUGCCCAGAUGGGAUUAGCUUGUUGGUGAGGUAACGGCUCACCAAGGCGACGAUCCCUAGCUGGUCUGAGAGGAUGACCAGCCACACUGGAACUGAGACACGGUCCAGACUCCUACGGGAGGCAGCAGUGGGGAAUAUUGCACAAUGGGCGCAAGCCUGAUGCAGCCAUGCCGCGUGUAUGAAGAAGGCCUUCGGGUUGUAAAGUACUUUCAGCGAGGAGGAAGGCAUUAAGGUUAAUAACCUUAGUGAUUGACGUUACUCGCAGAAGAAGCACCGGCUAACUCCGUGCCAGCAGCCGCGGUAAUACGGAGGGUGCAAGCGUUAAUCGGAAUUACUGGGCGUAAAGCGCACGCAGGCGGUCUGUCAAGUCGGAUGUGAAAUCCCCGGGCUCAACCUGGGAACUGCAUUCGAAACUGGCAGGCUAGAGUCUUGUAGAGGGGGGUAGAAUUCCAGGUGUAGCGGUGAAAUGCGUAGAGAUCUGGAGGAAUACCGGUGGCGAAAGCGGCCCCCUGGACAAAGACUGACGCUCAGGUGCGAAAGCGUGGGGAGCAAACGGGAUUAGAUACCCUGGGAGACCACGCUGGAAACGAUGUCGACUUU